UUGCAGAUCCUGUGCUUCGCCGUCCUCCUGGCGGCGACGGCGGCGUCGGCGCGCCGCCACGCGCCGCCGCAGGCGGGCGCGGCGGGGCAGAGCACCUACAUGGCGCCCAGCUGCCGGGAGCACACGGCGUCGCUGACGGACUUCGGGGGUGUGGGCGACGGCAACACCUCCAACACGGCGGCGUUCCGCAAAGCGGUGGAGCACCUGUCGCAGUACUCGGGCGAGGGCGGCGGCGGCGGCAUGCUCUACGUGCCCGCCGGCCGGUGGCUCACCGCGCCCUUCAACCUCACCAGCCACUUCACGCUCUUCCUCCACGCCGACGCCGUCAUCCUCGGGACGCAGGACGUGGCCCAGUGGCCGGUCAUCGACCCGCUGCCCUCCUACGGCCGCGGCCGGGACCACGCCGGGGGGCGGUACGCGAGCCUCGUGUCCGGAUCCAACCUCACCGACGUGGUGAUCACGGGGAACAACGGCACCAUCGACGGGCAGGGCGCCACGUGGUGGUCCAAGUACAAGUCCGGCAAGCUCAAGUACACGCGCGGCUACCUCAUCGAGCUCAUGCACACCGACGGCGUCUUCAUCUCCAACGUCACGCUCGUGAACUCGCCGGCGUGGAACAUCCACCCGGUCUACAGCCGCAACAUCGUCGUGUCCGGGGUGACCAUCCUGGCGCCCACCAAGUCGCCCAACACGGACGGCAUCAACCCGGACUCGUGCUCCCAGGUGCGCAUCGAGGACUGCUACGUCGUCUCCGGCGACGACUGCGUGGCCAUCAAGAGCGGCUGGGACGAGUACGGCAUCGCCGUCGGCAUGCCCAGCGAGCACAUCGUCGUGCGCCGCCUCACCUGCGUGUCGCCCACCAGCGCGGUGAUCGCGCUCGGCAGCGAGAUGUCGGGCGGCAUCCAGGACGUGCGCGCCGAGGACAUCACCGCCAUCGGGACCGAGUCGGCGGUGCGGAUCAAGACGGCGGUCGGGCGCGGCGCAUACGUGCGCGACGUGUACGCGAGGAGGAUGCGGCUCGACGGCAUGAAGCGCGUCUUCUGGAUGACCGGUGACUACAAGUCCCACCCCGACGACGGCUAUGACAAGACCGCCGUGCCGGUCGUCGAGAACAUCAGCUACCAGGACGUGGUGGCCACCGGCGUGUGGAAGGAGGCCGCAAGGAUGCAGGGCAUCCAAGGCGCGCCCUUCAAGGGCAUCUGUAUGGCCAACGUCACCGCUGAGAUGACCAAGGAGAGGAAGGUGUCAUGGAACUGCGUCGACGUCGAGGGCGUCUCCGCGGGCGUCACCCCGGCGCCUUGCGCGCCGCUGCAGGGCACCCACGCCGGCUCCUGCCCGUUCCCCACUGACACGCUCGCCGUCGACAAGAUCGCCGUGCAGCAGUGCUCAUACUCCAUCGCUUCCCCUGCUGCUUCUUCAGUGGCUGGGACAGGGUAG
This 1437-nucleotide ribosomal RNA is filed under the name Triticum aestivum (bread wheat). RNAcentral's name for it is "partial small subunit ribosomal RNA". The record is from RNAcentral. Lineage: Eukaryota; Viridiplantae; Streptophyta; Magnoliopsida; Poales; Poaceae.